CCUACGGGGGGCAGCAGUGGGGAAUAUUGGACAAUGGGGGCAACCCUGAUCCAGCCAUGCCGCGUGUGUGAAGAAGGCCCUCGGGUUGUAAAGCACUUUCAGUGAGGAAGAACGCCUGGUGGUUAAUACCCAUCAGGAAAGACAUCACUCACAGAAGAAGCACCGGCUAACUCCGUGCCAGCAGCCGCGGUAAUACGGAGGGUGCGAGCGUUAAUCGGAAUUACUGGGCGUAAAGCGCGCGUAGGUGGCUUGAUAAGCCGGUUGUGAAAGCCCCGGGCUCAACCUGGGAACGGCAUCCGGAACUGUCAAGCUAGAGUGCAGGAGAGGAAGGUAGAAUUCCCGGUGUAGCGGUGAAAUGCGUAGAGAUCGGGAGGAAUACCAGUGGCGAAGGCGGCCUUCUGGACUGACACUGACACUGAGGUGCGAAAGCGUGGAUAGCAAACAGGAUUAGAUACCCCGGUAGUC
Molecule: ribosomal RNA, 465 nt
Filed under: Vreelandella stevensii
Lineage: Bacteria; Pseudomonadati; Pseudomonadota; Gammaproteobacteria; Oceanospirillales; Halomonadaceae
Description: partial 16S ribosomal RNA
Rfam family: Bacterial small subunit ribosomal RNA
Source: RNAcentral